GCACCCGUAGCUCAGUGGAUAGAGCGUCUGCCUCCGGAGCAGAAGGCCACUGGUUCGAGUCCAGUCGGGUGCA
RNAcentral lists this transfer RNA (73 nucleotides) under Armatimonadota bacterium. It matches the Rfam family "tRNA". Rfam says of the family: Transfer RNA (tRNA) molecules are approximately 80 nucleotides in length. Their secondary structure includes four short double-helical elements and three loops (D, anti-codon, and T loops). The record is from Rfam by way of RNAcentral. Lineage: Bacteria; Bacillati; Armatimonadota.